Triticum aestivum (bread wheat) is the source of this 1536-nucleotide long non-coding RNA. RefSeq lists it as uncharacterized. The transcript has 3 exons. Lineage: Eukaryota; Viridiplantae; Streptophyta; Magnoliopsida; Poales; Poaceae. The record is from RefSeq and is a predicted model, not a curated record.
GUAAUCAGAAUAUGGUUAUCAGGUUAUAUGCUUCAGCAAAUUAUAAAUCAUGUAUGCACAUUCACUGACUGUACACUAAAAAUUUCUAACACUGAUUUGAUAAUGUGGUUGUUUGGAUCUUCUCAUGGGAAAUUUUAAAAGUUAUUCAGUAAAUUAAAAUGAGCAUUUGCUUUGUUCUCCUAAUCUGGAGAUUUUAUGAGCUUUUCAGUGAUCAGUUGGGAUCAUUUUCCCAAUAGCACCGAGUUAGAUCUUGUUUGGGGUGACCUCUCCUGACCUCCUCCCAGGUUCCCGGUCUGGAGCGGGAGGGGCGGAAGCCGGCGAGGCCAACCUCCCCUUCACACGCAGGAGAGCAAGUCCCUCAAGUUCAUGAGGAAUCCGCUCUCAACUUGUUAACACAGGGGUGCUCAACAGGAGAAGCACUCAAUAGGAGAAGCAGGAGCAGCCGAGCGUUCGCCUGGUUGCAGGUCGACUUCAGGUCCCUUCUCUUCUUACUGAUUUAUUCCUCCCCUUCUCUUCCAGUCCCCUACUCACAGAGCUUCUCAUUUUGUUUUUCUAGAUUUGGUUUCUCUAUGUCUACAGGUUGUUUGAUGAAAAUCCAAAAAGGCUGACAUGGGAGAAUUAAUCUAUGCAAGUCAUGUGAUUUUAUUUUUCUAUAAUUUAGUUCCAGUCAAAGAUAACAAGUUGAGUAGUCCCAUUAAUUUUUUGCAAUUUAGGGCAUUGAAGGAGAUCAGAAUGCUUUUAUUUGUAUUUACAUCAUGUUCUUUAUUAUAGAACAACCACAGUGGAGAAAAUUAUCUCAUAUCUUUUGGAUGAUUUGGUUUAAUUGGCUAUUACGCAUGUUGGAAUGAAUUAGCAAGUACAGAAAUGAAUAACUGCAGCUCCUUCCCGAUUAGGUCGGGUUAAAUGCUUCCCAAAUACAAAUGGUCUCAGGAAAAAGGCAAAUAUGCAAUAAUUUUGUGUUUUUUCAAAGUAAGUAGAGUGGGUUACUACUAAACCAGAGGACGGGUAGUCAUUGCUUACUUAUGUAAAUAGAGAUCCAAUUGUCUCUUAUUAUGUGUAGGCAUAAAGUUGGAUCUUGGAUGCUUGGCAACGCCUUUCUAUGUUGUUUUCCUAUUUAUUUUAUUUAUUGUGCUUCCCUUUUUUGGACUACAAUGUUCUGGGAGGUGAGGAAAUGAGAUUGAACUACGUGUUUUCUUUUCAGGUAUACUUGAAGUUAACGAGUUUCCAAUUCCUUGUUGUUGUUAAUAAUAUGAAAGUGCAACCGUGGUUUUUGCUCCCAGCUGAUGCAUACUGCUUUGCUUGCAGCUAUCAUCAGCCAUUGUUGCUGGUACUGUCCCUUUUUGAGAACCAAAGAAAUAUUGAUUUUCAGCUCAGAUGUGUGUGUUAGGUGAUGUUGCAUGCCAUUUUUGUUCAUCGGCCUGGCAUGAUUUGGAUUGGAUCACCUGCGGAGGCAGGUUUCAUCACCUCGGACGGAGGGAGUAUAUGAUGUAAUUGGCCACUAUCACUAAGAAGUGCUCCUGGACACAAUGCUCUAUA